RNAcentral lists this long non-coding RNA (784 nucleotides) under Homo sapiens (human). Its description in RNAcentral is "HSALNT0189040". Lineage: Eukaryota; Metazoa; Chordata; Mammalia; Primates; Hominidae. The record is from RNAcentral.
GUUUUAUGGGCCUCUAAGCACCGGCCAGUAGUGGGGAAUGCCACAUGCAAUGGGAGAUGGAAUGGAAGAUAUGACGCUCCCCCAGAAGCCACACUUCAAUGACAAUGGGCAGGUCGCUAAGCAGAUAGCAAAACUGGCUGCAAGGGAAUGCACUGAGGGAAGCUGGAACAUCCUAAAGAAUUAAUAUUAAAUUGCUUUCUCAUGAAAACCAGUGCAGUAAAGAAACCAAGUGGGCUUGGUUCAGAGGCGGCUCCAUCUCUACCUCAGGUCUCACCAGUGACUAUUAUUCUAAUAAUAAGUGAAAGAAACCACAGCCGUAACCCCAAUGCUGCUACCCUCACCCACCUCUGUGGGCAAGGGAAGCCCUGCUCAGUGGAGAAAUGUGAUGGAGGCAGGGGGAGCCAUGCAGUGUGUGAGUAUGCGAUGACCCCUCUGCAGAAGAGAGAGGUCAGUUCAGAAUAUCUGAACCCCUCGCGGUAUCGACCCAUGCCUGGAGAAAGCCACAAUGCAGAGGACAUGAUACGAAAUGAAAUGAGCACCCCAUAACUCCCAAUGAAAGGUCAUUUUAAGUUCCCCAAAUUACCCCUAGAGAUAACUGGUGCUACUUUGAAAAGCACUUUUAUCUCUACCCCAAAUAAGUGUCAAUUCUCCAGUAUGAAGGCUAAACGAUCGUCAUAAAUAUUGCAAGAUACAAAUGAAUUUUUUUUUUAGCCCUAGGAUUUGGUUUUACAGUGACAUAAAUAGUACAAGCCAUUUGGGAUCAAAGUCUCCCCCAUGUACUGGA